AGUGAACGCUGGCGGUAGGCCUAACACAUGCAAGUCGAACGGCAGCACAGUAAGAGCUUGCUCUUACGGGUGGCGAGUGGCGGACGGGUGAGGAAUACAUCGGAAUCUACUUUUUCGUGGGGGAUAGCGUAGGGAAACUUACGCUAAUACCGCAUACGACCUACGGGUGAAAGCAGGGGGUCUUCGGACCUUGCGCGAUUGAAUGAGCCGAUGUCGGAUUAGCUAGUUGGCGGGGUAAAGGCCCACCAAGGCGACGAUCCGUAGCUGGUCUGAGAGGAUGAUCAGCCACACUGGAACUGAGACACGGUCCAGACUCCUACGGGAGGCAGCAGUGGGGAAUAUUGGACAAUGGGCGCAAGCCUGAUCCAGCCAUACCGCGUGGGUGAAGAAGGCCUUCGGGUUGUAAAGCCCUUUUGUUGGGAAAGAAAAGCAGCAGGUUAAUACCCCGCUGUUCUGACGGUACCCAAAGAAUAAGCACCGGCUAACUUCGUG
Molecule: ribosomal RNA, 492 nt
Filed under: uncultured bacterium
Lineage: Bacteria
Description: partial 16S ribosomal RNA
Rfam family: Bacterial small subunit ribosomal RNA
Source: RNAcentral